AAGCCAUGUGAUGAAUUUGGAUUUACAUUUUCUCACGACGGUCGUCUGAGAAUCACUUGAUGCAAAUGAUCCGCUAUUUCUGAUGGUU
Small nucleolar RNA from Arachis stenosperma, 88 nucleotides. RefSeq annotates it as small nucleolar RNA Z161/Z228. The record is from RefSeq and is a predicted model, not a curated record. The transcript has a single exon. NCBI's taxonomy places the organism in Eukaryota, Viridiplantae, Streptophyta, Magnoliopsida, Fabales, Fabaceae.